Molecule: long non-coding RNA, 793 nt
Organism: Osmia bicornis bicornis
Lineage: Eukaryota; Metazoa; Arthropoda; Insecta; Hymenoptera; Megachilidae
Exons: 3
Source: RefSeq, a predicted model, not a curated record
ACCUUUUACCUUAUGCUCACGAUCCCCACCAAUAUAACGAUUCAACUUUUCUUUCUCGCUCCCGUGUAUACAUCGUCUCGCCCUGUCCAUCCAUACUCUUCUCCAUCGCUUCGUACGCCUCCUACCACCUGCUUCUCACACCCAUUUAAUCCCCGCUCUUACAUGCCCCUGACAACCUUCUACACCGCCGCCACCGCUGCCGACAACAACCUCAACUUAUCCAUGUUACUCGUUACCUCAUUUUUUAUUUAUUUAAACAAACGGAUCUACUGUUUAUUUUUGCGAGGAUUACGCAGAGAAAAAUACUGCGUCUAAAGAAAAAGAAGAUUUCAGCGACUCUGAUUACUGGCCCCCGAAUGUAUUCUUCAAUUCGGGACUUAAUCAGCGUACCUAGGCAACCAGUGUUGCGAGCGAACGCGAUGCGUCAAUGGCGGAUGAGCGGAAAGGGGAAUGAGGAAAAAGGAGGAGUAAAACGACGCGUUUGUUGGCGCGAACGAGUACAUAAUUGCUAUCAAUUAAUUGUAUAAUGAAUCGCGCUGUCCUUGCUCCGGACACGACGAGAUUACGGAUUACCAGAACCUUGACCCUUUAAUUGGAAGAUUCGUGAUUGUGUAAAUAUUACGCAACAUCGUCGCCCGUGGUAUUUACCUCUAUAGCCUUCGACAAGGGCCAACUCGUUGUUGGACAAACACCAACCGGACUUCGUCUAACACGACUUUUCCAUCGUCCGGUAAUUCAUUCUCGCGACCGAAUUUCUGAUAGAAAGGAAAAUAAACGAAUGCCAACACUUGUA